CCCUCCGGUAGCCCUGGAGUGAUGCUGUCCUCAUUUUAGGGAUGAGGAAACCAAAGGACUGGAAGAUGCGGACUGUGACUAAGUUCCUUAAAGCACAGCCUGGAGGUGGAGCAGGGACUCUCACCAGGAAACCAACAUCUAAAGAAGUUAAGUGACUUCACAGCUUAAGGUGUGCACAGCUUAACUCAACGCAGGAAUGCCAAGGCCCCUCAAGUCAGCGUCCCUCCACAGGUUGCCCUAACAGAGUACCCCAAACCCGGUGGCUUGAAACAACAGGGAUGUAUUGUCUCACAGUUCUGGAG
Molecule: long non-coding RNA, 302 nt
Filed under: Equus caballus (horse)
Lineage: Eukaryota; Metazoa; Chordata; Mammalia; Perissodactyla; Equidae
Description: lncRNA (ENSECAG00000047283.1)
Source: RNAcentral